CACGCAGGCGGGUGCGCGCGUGGGGUGUGAAACCGGGUGGCUUAACUGCCCGCCGCCAUCCCAUACGGCGCGCCUGGAGCCAUCCAGAGGUCGGUGGAAUUGCCGGUGUAGUGGUGAAAUGCGUAGAGAUCGGCAGGAACACCCAGGGGGAAACCAGCCGACUGGGGAUGUGCUGACGCUGAGGUGCGAGAGCGUGGGAGCAACCCG
This 207-nucleotide ribosomal RNA is filed under the name uncultured bacterium. RNAcentral describes it as "partial 16S ribosomal RNA". It matches the Rfam family "Bacterial small subunit ribosomal RNA", at positions 568 to 775 of the family's 1533-position model. The record is from RNAcentral.